This 1950-nucleotide long non-coding RNA is filed under the name Homo sapiens (human). RNAcentral's name for it is "HSALNT0173466". Lineage: Eukaryota; Metazoa; Chordata; Mammalia; Primates; Hominidae. The record is from RNAcentral.
CUAUGCAUUUACUGCAACCUCAGGACAAGAUUGACCUCGGAAAGGCUUUGGGAACACUUUAGAAAACAUCUCUUCCUCCCACUGAAAGGUUCACAACUAUUGUUUUCCUCUUCUGACUCAUCUUUGAAUCAGUAAAUUAAAUAUGUAUAACUUGUGAAGAUUUCAUUUUUAUUAAGGCAAGGUGCUUUGCUGAGCAAUGUCAAGAUUUAGAAGUGUACAGCUCUCCUUUUCUCCCUUCUCAAUGAUUUUAUUUCCUGUAGUUUGUAGGAGGACUUUCAGAGAGCUGUUCUCUUUAUCCUUCUCUGUGGCUCUGGCUCUUUUCUGUAUCAUAGAGAAGUUAAAAAGAGUUGAUUAUCAUCUACUCUCCUAGGGUGGUCAAGACUUGAGGAUUCAGAGGCUGUUUCUCAAUUUAAGUCUCUAAGAAUAUGCCCUUCAGCCUUCUUACCUUGACUUCUGGAACUUUAUUGGUGAAAAAAAACUACGGCAUGACUCUGACAAUCCUUUGAAGUCAUGAAUAUACAAGAGCAUGAAUAAGAGAAGAAAAGAUGGAAGAUAAAAAGCAGAAGGAUGCAGAGCAUAUCAAUAGCUGGGACCUGAAUUAGCACCAUAUGGAGCAGAGUUCUCUUCCAGCUAACCAAGGGCACUUCAUCACCAAAGCAACAAGAUGUGGAGCAUGAGCAGUUCAACCUUUGAAGAUAACUCAGACUAAUUUGGCCAGCCUCUCCGUCUGAGGGUCUGAGAUCAUAAGAAGGAAUUUGAAAUACCAGAGUAGCUUAACAAAGACUCUGAGAAGUCCUGCAAUAAGGAAGUAUCAUUAACUUUGUUGAACAUUUUUUACCAUUGACUCCAUGAUAUAGUUUGAAUAUUUGUCCCCACUCAAAUCCCAUGUUGAAUUGUAAUCCCCCAUUUUGGGAGUGGGGCCUGGUGGGAGGUGUUUGGGUCAUGGGGGCAGACACCUCAUGGCUUGGCACUGUACUUGCAACAGUGAGUGAGUUCUCAUGAGAUCUGGUUAACUGUUUGGCACCUCCUCCCUCCUCACUCCUACAAGAGAUGUGAAGGAGUGCCAUGUGAUGUGCAAGCUCCUACUUCGCCUUCUACCAUGAGUAAAAGCUCCCCGAGGCCUCCACAGAAAAUGAGCAGAUGCCCUUGUUAUGCUAGUACAGCCCACAGAACUGUGAGCCAAUUAAACUUCUCUUCUUUUUAAAUUACCCGGUCUCUGCUGUUUCCCUAUAAUAAUGCAAGAAUGGCCUAAUACACUCCCUUAUCUGCAUACCGUGUAUCUCCAUUUUAUAGAAGGAUGCUUUGUGACGUAUGCUAUAAGAAAUACUGCUCUAAAGAGUUUUUGUAGAUGAGAUGGCUAAAGUAUCACAGAAAUGGUAUUGUGAACAACCAUUCUGAAAUGGAUGGGCCUUGGAAAUAAUGAUCUAAAAAUUCAGAAACUAAAAUAUUUGUCCCAUGAAAUACUCUCUAAAUGAGUUCCAUGUCCAUGUAAAUUUAGGCAACAUUGCACAUUAUAUCCAUUUUCUUAGAGAGUAAACAUGCUGGAAAAAAAAACAGCGUUACUUUAUCUAAUUAAAUUUUAGAAGGUUUAUUUGAAUAUCAAAAUUCAUUUCCCCCCAGGAGUAAUGAUAAAUACUAGGGGAGCUAGUGUGAAAAGUGCUUUGGAAAAAUAUGAUGUGGUAGCAAGAAGAGAUUUAAGAUUCCAACCAAUUCAGAUUUAAUUUUUGGCUCUGCUACUUGCCAGAUGAGAUUUAUUUAUGUGGGAGUUUCUGAAGAUUCCCAUGGUAAAUAGUAUUCCUCUUCCCUGCUUAGGUUUUGAAGAAGUUGAAUAAAUAAUUAAAUGUAAAUGUUGAUAGCAUAAGAUGACCUUUAUCGCUAACAGAGGUCAGGUUUUAGGACAUAGCUAAAAGUCUGCUAAUGCUGGUGGACUUGCUCACACAGAAAGAACAC